Long non-coding RNA from Mesocricetus auratus (golden hamster), 670 nucleotides. RefSeq lists it as uncharacterized. The record is from RefSeq and is a predicted model, not a curated record. NCBI's taxonomy places the organism in Eukaryota, Metazoa, Chordata, Mammalia, Rodentia, Cricetidae. The transcript has 4 exons.
AUGUAACCGCCAUGGGGGUAGGAGCCCAGAACUAUUCUCCGACUUCAGCUGCCAGAUGAUAUGAGAAGCUGCGAUUUCCACUUCUGAUCAUUUCUCAUUUUCCUGAAGCCAUAGACGAAAGUAAGGCUCCUUCUUGAGAAGAGGCAGGAACAAAGGAAGGAAGCCAUACUCCCCGCGUGCCGGGAUUGACAUUUCCAGUCACAGAUGAUCAGCAGGGAUCAACGCAUGUGCUACUCGAUUCGGGUACAGUAAAGUCUGUGUUCAGAGUUCCCAAGCAAGUUCACACCUCAAUAUGAAGAAGCUUCAAGAUCUGAGAUUGUCUUUGUCCUCCUGUAGAGCUGUGGAAGCAGCUUCCCAGACCAAUAGCAACUGCAGGAGCUUCUCUUGGUGGAGGAAUCUGAGAGGCUUGCAAGCAGACACAGGAUGCUGCUAUGGCCGGGCCAGGGAGGGGGUGGGGGGUGAGGAGUGGGAGGUGAGGGGGAAGAAAGCUCACCUAGCCAUGGGUUCUAAGGUUAACCGGUGUUGGACCAUGCAGAAUGACACAAGCACAAUGUGAAGUAACCGGCGAGGCUGCUGAGGUGCCCCCACUUGCAGUUGGGGUCAGCAGCAUGGUGUCUUGGAUUAAAGUCCCCAAGAUAAAGGAAGCCUCUCUCCUCCCCUACUGGCAUCA